RNAcentral lists this ribosomal RNA (527 nucleotides) under uncultured Acinetobacter sp. Its description in RNAcentral is "bacterial SSU rRNA". It matches the Rfam family "Bacterial small subunit ribosomal RNA", at positions 616 to 1143 of the family's 1533-position model. The record is from RNAcentral. Lineage: Bacteria; Pseudomonadati; Pseudomonadota; Gammaproteobacteria; Moraxellales; Moraxellaceae.
GGGAAUUGCAUUCGAUACUGGUUGGCUAGAGUAUGGGAGAGGAUGGUAGAAUUCCAGGUGUAGCGGUGAAAUGCGUAGAGAUCUGGAGGAAUACCGAUGGCGAAGGCAGCCAUCUGGCCUAAUACUGACGCUGAGGUACGAAAGCAUGGGGAGCAAACAGGAUUAGAUACCCUGGUAGUCCAUGCCGUAAACGAUGUCUACUAGCCGUUGGGGCCCUUGAGGCUUUAGUGGCGCAGCUAACGCGAUAAGUAGACCGCCUGGGGAGUACGGUCGCAAGACUAAAACUCAAAUGAAUUGACGGGGGCCCGCACAAGCGGUGGAGCAUGUGGUUUAAUUCGAUGCAACGCGAAGAACCUUACCUGGCCUUGACAUACAGAGAACUUUCCAGAGAUGGAUUGGUGCCUUCGGGAACUCUGAUACAGGUGCUGCAUGGCUGUCGUCAGCUCGUGUCGUGAGAUGUUGGGUUAAGUCCCGCAACGAGCGCAACCCUUUUCCUUAUUUGCCAGCACUUCGGGUGGGAACUUUAA